CGAACGCUGGCGGCGUGCCUAACACAUGCAAGUCGAGCGGGGUUGUCUGCGACACUGGUUGUUCAGAGGGAGCUGAACGAUGAGUGUUGCAGACAACCUAGCGGCGAACGGGUGAGUAACGCGUGGGCAAUCUACCCUCGGCAGGGGGAUAACACAGGGAAACCUGUGCUAAUACCGCAUAACACUGAGGUAUGGCAUCAUACAGCAGUCAAAGAUUUCAUCGGCAGAGGAUGAGCCCGCGUUGGAUUAGCUAGUUGGUGAGGUAACGGCCCACCAAGGCGACGAUCCAUAGCCGAACUGAGAGGUUGAUCGGCCACAUUGGGACUGAGACACGGCCCAGACUCCUACGGGAGGCAGCAGUGGGGAAUAUUGCACAAUGGGGGAAACCCUGAUGCAGCAACGCCGCGUGAAGGAAGAAGGCUUUCGGGUUGUAAACUUCUUUGAUAGGGGACGAUAAUGACGGUACCCUAAGAACAAGCCACGGCUAACUACGUG
This 495-nucleotide ribosomal RNA is filed under the name uncultured bacterium. RNAcentral's name for it is "bacterial SSU rRNA". It matches the Rfam family "Bacterial small subunit ribosomal RNA", at positions 30 to 507 of the family's 1533-position model. The record is from RNAcentral.